ACUCCUACGGGAGGCAGCAGUAGGGAAUCUUCCACAAUGGACGAAAGUCUGAUGGAGCAACGCCGCGUGAACGAUGAAGGCCUCGGUCGUAAGUACUGUUGUAGGUAAGAACAAGUAGCGCAGGCGAAUGGCGGCGACCUUGACGGUACCGUUGCGAGAAAGCCACGGCUAACUACGUGCCAGCAGCCGCGGUAAUACGUAGGUGGCAAGCGUUGUCCGGAAUUAUUGGGCGUAAAGCGCGCGCAGGCGGCCUCUUAAGUCUGAUGUGAAAGCCCCGGCUCAACCGGGGGAGGGCCGAUUGGAAACUGGGAGGCUUGAGUAUAGGAGAGAAGAGUGGAAUUCCACGUGUAGCGGUGAAAUGCGUAGAGAUGUGGAGGAACACCAGUGGCGAAGGCGACGUCUUUGGCCUAUAACUGACGCUGAGGCGCGAAAGCGUGGGGAGCAAACAGGGAUUAGAUACCCUGGUAGGAUAGCG
This 475-nucleotide ribosomal RNA is filed under the name uncultured bacterium. Its description in RNAcentral is "bacterial SSU rRNA". It matches the Rfam family "Bacterial small subunit ribosomal RNA", at positions 335 to 799 of the family's 1533-position model. The record is from RNAcentral.